UGAGGAGAUUGGGUUGGAGGGAUAGAGGGAAGCAGCACAGCAGCAUCCCUUCCAGGCCUAUUUAUAGAAGCGGUGCAUUUGGAGUCUGAACCAACACCUGUCCACAAGGAGUCCUCUUGGACGCUCACAUCAGUACACACACACACACACAUCCCUUUCACCUUUCACCCCUGGGGGAAGCUUUCAAUCGGAAGCAGGGCGGCAUGCCAGAGACUGUGGAUGAGCAACGCUUUAACUGCCAAUAUUUGUAAUAACUUUAUCUCUCUCUCACACACACACACACACACACACACACACACAUUCACGUAAACCUGCCAGGUUACUGGGCAAGCACUGCACCUUGACAGUGUGCCAGUCACAUCAAAAGAUGGGGAAACUGAGAGCCAAAUCUGAGGCGAAGCUUUUGAUCAUUGAGAAAACAGCUGAAAAAUACAAAAAAAAAAUCUCACCGCUUUAUUCUUUUUCCCCUCCCUCGUUCACUUCCUCUGACAUUUACUCACUGGCUUUAUUCUUUGUUAAAUGUAAUGGCCUCCGUGUAUUACUUGGUUAGAUGGAGGCCAAGUCUAAAUUGUUUUUUUUCCUGUAUUCAGCAGUUUUAUACCUUUCUCUUGCCCCUCAUUAGCUUGGUUUUAAUGUGACCCAAUAGGUUAAAAGUUUACUUAAUUUAGAGACAUAAUUACAACUUUGUAAGAGUUUUUUGGUUGAAAGGUGUUUACACACCUGUGUGUUCAUUGGUGACUCACUGCUUUCAGCUAAAUAAAAGUGCUGCUGUUAUCAAUACUGUACACUUACGAUGUCUUAUAUUGUCUCUCACUGCAGCAGCCGUUCAGGGGGGAGUUACGAUGGCCGUUCUGCCCACUCAUAUCCUUUUUCUGCAGACGUGCAGCAGUAUACCAGAUUUUCUACUGUUUCAAUGAAGCUGCGAGAAAAAUUCUGCCACCAUCAGCAGGUGGUAAACAAUCAGUUCUACCCAAAGUUUAAUUUUUCCAGCUUUUUUUUUUUUUUAUAAUUUUAUUUCAAAUUUUUCCCAUUUUCUCCCCAAUUUACACGGCCAAUUACCCAACCCCUAUCACUAGUGAUGCUCCAACACAUCAGCAGGGUGAAGACUAACACAUGAUUCCUCCAAUACAUGUGAAUCAGCCACCGCUUCUUUUCGAGCUGCUGCUGAUGCAGCAUUGCCGAGUAGCAUCACAGCGCACUAAAGCGAAGCGGCUUGGUUUCGAUACAUCAGCUCACAGACGCCCUGUGCUGCGG
This 1254-nucleotide long non-coding RNA is filed under the name Astyanax mexicanus (Mexican tetra). RNAcentral describes it as "lncRNA (ENSAMXG00005020658.1)". The record is from RNAcentral. Lineage: Eukaryota; Metazoa; Chordata; Actinopteri; Characiformes; Acestrorhamphidae.